This 48-nucleotide non-coding RNA is filed under the name Schistosoma margrebowiei. Lineage: Eukaryota; Metazoa; Platyhelminthes; Trematoda; Strigeidida; Schistosomatidae. The record is from RNAcentral.
AUCCAGACGACGAGUCCUAAAUAGGACGAAACGCGUGACAACCUGGAU